CUUUCCUACGGGGGGCAGCAGUGGGGAAUAUUGCACAAUGGGGGAAACCCUGAUGCAGCGACGCCGCGUGAGUGAAGAAGUAUUUCGGUAUGUAAAGAUCUGUUGACAGGGACGAAUAAGCAAUGCGAAUAGUUUUGUGUAUGACGGUACCUGUUUAGAACGCUCCGGCUAACUACGUGCCAGCAGCCGCGGUAAUACGUAGGGAGCAAGCGUUGUCCGGAAUUACUGGGCG
This 232-nucleotide ribosomal RNA is filed under the name uncultured bacterium. Its description in RNAcentral is "partial 16S ribosomal RNA". It matches the Rfam family "Bacterial small subunit ribosomal RNA", at positions 334 to 560 of the family's 1533-position model. The record is from RNAcentral.